Molecule: ribosomal RNA, 356 nt
Filed under: uncultured Streptococcus sp.
Lineage: Bacteria; Bacillati; Bacillota; Bacilli; Lactobacillales; Streptococcaceae
Description: bacterial SSU rRNA
Rfam family: Bacterial small subunit ribosomal RNA
Source: RNAcentral
CGAUCGGUGACAGGUGGUGCAUGGUUGUCGUCAGCUCGUGUCGUGAGGUGUUGGGUUAAGUCCCGCAACGAGCGCAACCCCUAUUGUUAGUUGCCAUCAUUCAGUUGGGCACUCUAGCGAGACUGCCGGUAAUAAACCGGAGGAAGGUGGGGAUGACGUCAAAUCAUCAUGCCCCUUAUGACCUGGGCUACACACGUGCUACAAUGGUUGGUACAACGAGUUGCGAGUCGGUGACGGCGAGCUAAUCUCUUAAAGCCAAUCUCAGUUCGGAUUGUAGGCUGCAACUCGCCUACAUGAAGUCGGAAUCGCUAGUAAUCGCGGAUCAGCACGCCGCGGUGAAUACGUUCCCGGGCCUU